RNAcentral lists this ribosomal RNA (488 nucleotides) under uncultured Tepidimonas sp. RNAcentral describes it as "partial 16S ribosomal RNA". The record is from RNAcentral. Lineage: Bacteria; Pseudomonadati; Pseudomonadota; Betaproteobacteria; Burkholderiales.
CACGUAGUUAGCCGGUGCUUAUUCUUACGGUACCGUCAUCAGCCCCAGGUAUUAGCCAGAGCCUUUUCGUUCCGUACAAAAGCGGUUUGCAACCCGAAGGCCUUCUUCCCGCACGCGGCAUUGCUGGAUCAGGCUUGCGCCCAUUGUCCAAAAUUCCCCACUGCUGCCUCCCGUAGGAGUCUGGGCCGUGUCUCAGUCCCAGUGUGGCUGGUCGUCCUCUCAGACCAGCUACAGAUCGUCGGCUUGGUAGGCCUUUACCCCACCAACUACCUAAUCUGACAUCGGCCGCUCCAGAAGCGCGAGGCCAAACAUUGCUGCUUGGUCCCCCGCUUUCAUCCUCAGAUCACAUGCGGUAUUAGCACAGCUUUCGCUGCGUUAUCCCCCACUCUGGGCACGUUCCGAUGCAUUACUCACCCGUUCGCCACUCGUCAGCACCCGAAGGCCUGUUACCGUUCGACUUGCAUGUGUAAAGCAUGCCGCCAGCGUUC